This 463-nucleotide ribosomal RNA is filed under the name uncultured bacterium. Its description in RNAcentral is "partial 16S ribosomal RNA". It matches the Rfam family "Bacterial small subunit ribosomal RNA", at positions 28 to 507 of the family's 1533-position model. The record is from RNAcentral.
GAUGAACGCUGACAGAAUGCUUAACACAUGCAAGUCGAUGGGGAAGUGGUGCUUGCACCAUGGUAACCAUGGCGGACGGGUGAGUAACGCGUAAGGAACUUGCCUGCGGGACUGGGAUAACAGCAGGAAACUGCUGAUAAUACCGGAUAAGGUCAUUAAGCUGCAUAGCUUAGUGAUGAAAGGAGACGCCUGCGGAGAGCCUUGCGUCCUAUUAGCUAGUUGGAGGGGUAACGGCCCACCAAGGCGAAGAUAGGUAGCCGGCCUGAGAGGGUGGACGGCCACAAGGGGACUGAGAUGCGGACCUUACUCCUACGGGAGGCAGCAGUGGGGAAUAUUGGACAAUGGGGGCAACCCUGAUCCAGCAAUUCUGUGUGCACGAAGACGGUUUUCGGAUUGUAAAGUGCUUUCAGCAGGGAAGAAGGAAGUGACGGUACCCGCAGAAGAAGCGACGGCUAAAUACGUG